RNAcentral lists this ribosomal RNA (292 nucleotides) under uncultured bacterium. RNAcentral's name for it is "partial 16S ribosomal RNA". It matches the Rfam family "Bacterial small subunit ribosomal RNA", at positions 29 to 334 of the family's 1533-position model. The record is from RNAcentral.
AACGAACGCUGGCGGCAGGCUUAACACAUGCAAGUCGAACGGGUACGAUCUAGCUUGCUAGAUACGACUAGUGGCAAACGGGUGAGUAACGCGUGGGAACCUACCUUGUAGUAUGGAAUAGUCUCGGGAAACUGGGGUUAAUACCAUAUACGCUCUUCGGAGGAAAGAUUUAUCGCUAUAAGAUGGGCCCGCGUUAGAUUAGCUUGUUGGUAAGGUAAUGGCUUACCAAGGCUACGAUCUAUAGCUGGUUUGAGAGGAUGAUCAGCCACACUGGAACUGAGACACGGUCCAG